RNAcentral lists this ribosomal RNA (531 nucleotides) under uncultured bacterium. RNAcentral describes it as "bacterial SSU rRNA". It matches the Rfam family "Bacterial small subunit ribosomal RNA", at positions 777 to 1304 of the family's 1533-position model. The record is from RNAcentral.
AAUAGAUACCCGGGUAGUCCACGCCGUAAACGAUGAGUGCUAAGUGUUAGAGGGUUUCCGCCCUUUAGUGCUGCAGCUAACGCAUUAAGCACUCCGCCUGGGGAGUACGGCCGCAAGGCUGAAACUCAAAGGAAUUGACGGGGGCCCGCACAAGCGGUGGAGCAUGUGGUUUAAUUCGAAGCAACGCGAAGAACCUUACCAGGUCUUGACAUCCUUACGACCUCCCUAGAGAUAGGGAUUUCCCCUUCGGGGGACGGAAGUGACAGGUGGUGCAUGGUUGUCGUCAGCUCGUGUCGUGAGAUGUUGGGUUAAGUCCCGCAACGAGCGCAACCCUUGAUCUUAGUUGCCAGCAUUCAGUUGGGCACUCUAAGGUGACUGCCGGUGACAAACCGGAGGAAGGUGGGGAUGACGUCAAAUCAUCAUGCCCCUUAUGACCUGGGCUACACACGUGCUACAAUGGAUGGUACAAAGGGCUGCGAAACCGCGAGGUCGAGCCAAUCCCAUAAAACCAUUCUCAGUUCGGAUUGCAGG